Molecule: ribosomal RNA, 259 nt
Filed under: uncultured alveolate
Lineage: Eukaryota
Description: partial Bacterial large subunit ribosomal RNA
Rfam family: Bacterial large subunit ribosomal RNA
Source: RNAcentral
AGAACGUCGUGAGACAGUUCGGUCUCUAUCUACUGCGGGCGUCAGAGAUUUGAGCGGUGCCGGCCCUAGUACGAGAGGACCGGGCCGGACCGACCGCUGGUGCACCGGUUGUCCCGCCAGGGGCAUCGCCGGGUAGCCACGUCGGGACGGGAUAAGCGCUGAAGGCAUAUAAGCGCGAAACCCGCCGCGAGAUGAGAUCUCUUUAAAGGGCCGUGGGAGACGACCACGUCGAUAGGCCGCAGGUGGAAGUGCAGCGAUG